Molecule: long non-coding RNA, 1496 nt
Organism: Solea solea (common sole)
Lineage: Eukaryota; Metazoa; Chordata; Actinopteri; Pleuronectiformes; Soleidae
Exons: 6
Source: RefSeq, a predicted model, not a curated record
CUCGCUUUGAACUCGUCGUGUUCGCGAACAUGGAGGCCGCGGAGGCUCAUUCUUCAUCAAAUGACAGUAGUGUCUCCCAGAGGACAUGGCCUGUCUUCCCAGGACACACACCACUCGGUCAAAUCUCUCUGGAUUGUCUGGAAGCAGCUGGUGUUUGUCUCCACAUUUCACCUGCAGGAGAAAAACCAACAACAAGCUCGUCGUUGAACUUCUCCACCAGCGCUGCCAGCGUCCUGUAGAUGCUUCCUGUUCCCAGGUUAGAGUUCAACGACACUCCAGACCAGUUUUUGGCGGGUGGAGGACUGGAGAGCUUGGGGAACGUCUGGCAGAAAAGAAAAAGAAAAAGAAAGAAGACUGAAAUGAUGCUGGAGGACUCCAGGAAUGCUGAGAUUCCGUGCUGAGAUCCUCACCGACCUGGACGCAGUGACCGUGGUCGUCGGACUGCGCGAGUUUGGCGAGGGCCUUCUCUCUGCGCCGCAGCUCCUCCACCUCCUGCUCCAGCUGUCGGAUCAUGGCGUCGGCCUGGUGCGCGGCCGCUCGCCGGCUCAGCUCCAUCACCUCCAUCAGCUCCGCCUGGGAUCGCUCCACGGCGGAGACCAGAGCGGAGAAGAGGCAGACGCUUCCCGCCGUCUCUCGCUCCACCGCCGACUGAGGAGAGAAAACGCGUGAGGAGACGUCGGAUCCUUCGAGACACGCUUUCAAAAGAAUCCAGCACCGCUCUCAGGAUGGCGGCUACAGCCACAGCGCCGGGGUCGGGCAGGGUGACCCGCUCUGCGGCGAUAUAGCUGGCUCGCCCCGCCCUCGCUGUGAGGUCACGGGUUGCCUCCGCCCCCGAGGCUGCUUUCUGGAGAAAAGUGAUUUGGGAGUUUCACUCAAGAGUUGUACCUCUGGCGCGCUGAGCGUGAGUGUUCCCACAAUCUCCGUCCCCGGCAGCACGAUCCAGGGAGUUGAGUUCCUCCUGUUUUUCCAACAGCGUGGAACAAACGCGCUCUAAUGCGUCACGCAUCACACAACUCAGUGGACCUACAGAAAAUAAAACAAGUCACUGUCCCCCGCACUCAUCAUCUCUUACCGAGCCCCAGCUCCAUGUCCCCCGCCGGCAGGUCAAAUGACGGCAGGCAGCCGGGGACGCUGCACGGAGACAGACUCACCCCCAGUGUCCCUGAACGAAAACAAACACGGAGUUUGGUGUUUGGUUUGGAAAAGUAUCGCUCGCGGUGACCACAGAGGAAAGAGCUGGAGGAGGUGAAAACUCACCGAUCCCUUUUAAGACCGCCGUCACUUUGGCAACAAUCUGGUCCAACGAGGAGCCGUCUUCUGCCAUGGCACCUGCCAGCUGACAGGAAGUGAGUGAAGGGAAGUUAAGAAGAGAGCUGUGAGUGUAAGUCAGCUUCUCCCGCCAACAUGGCGGAGUAAACAAGCCGAGUCAUGUGACGUGUGGUUUAUUUUACCACACCGUGUGCAUGAAAGUCAUUAUUCACGGUUUGUUCACCUUG